Molecule: ribosomal RNA, 115 nt
Filed under: Taenioides snyderi
Lineage: Eukaryota; Metazoa; Chordata; Actinopteri; Gobiiformes; Gobiidae
Description: partial 16S rRNA
Source: RNAcentral
ACCUAACCCCUCCUAACAGCUAGCCUACCCCCUAAAUUCAACAAACAAACAUAAACUAACCCCAAAUACCCAAAAACAACAUAACAAACCAUUUUUCCCCCUUAGUAUGGGUGAC